ACGUAGGGUCCAAGCGUUAAUCGGAAUUACUGGGCGUAAAGCGUGCGCAGGCGGUUGUGCAAGACCGAUGUGAAAUCCCCGGGCUUAACCUGGGAAUUGCAUUGGUGACUGCACGGCUAGAGUGUGUCAGAGGGGGGUAGAAUUCCACGUGUAGCAGUGAAAUGCGUAGAGAUUUGGAGGAAUACAGAUGGCGAAGGCAGGCCCCUAGGAUAACACUGCCCGUUAUGCACGAAAGCGUGGGGAGUAAACAG
Molecule: ribosomal RNA, 251 nt
Filed under: uncultured prokaryote
Description: partial 16S rRNA
Rfam family: Bacterial small subunit ribosomal RNA
Source: RNAcentral